GGGCAUGUAGCUCAGUGGUAGAGCACUUACCUAGUGUGCAUAAGGCUCAAGUUUCAUGCCCA
RNAcentral lists this transfer RNA (62 nucleotides) under Neotoma lepida (desert woodrat). It matches the Rfam family "tRNA". Rfam says of the family: Transfer RNA (tRNA) molecules are approximately 80 nucleotides in length. Their secondary structure includes four short double-helical elements and three loops (D, anti-codon, and T loops). RNAcentral also lists the same sequence under 1 other name. Lineage: Eukaryota; Metazoa; Chordata; Mammalia; Rodentia; Cricetidae. The record is from Rfam by way of RNAcentral.